AAACCGGUCCCCACAAACCACCCAUCCACAUUGACAACGGCAGAAGUCCUGCCGCACAGUUUUAUUUGACCGCAUUCCCCACUCUUUCUUUUUUUUUUCCAAAGAUCGUCCUCCUCCCUCCCCGUCGCAUCCCGCACCGCUGACGCUGCAUUUACCUUCACGCCUGUCGUCUUGCGCCUUCGCGUCCAUUGUCGGAGGCUGCCCGCACGCACGCCUGACGGGCGGGAACGAGGAUGGGCAAGGGCCGCGACAAGCGCAAGAAGAAUGAGGACCCUGCGAAGGCCGCGAAGCGAGCCGCUCGGCAGGCGCUGAAGCUCCAGAAGAACAUGAAGAAGGAAAAUGGCGAGGAAGCGGCAGAGGGCUUCAACAACGAAGAGGCCAUCGAGGUGACGCUCAAGCGUAUCCAGAAGCAGGAAGGAAAGGUGAAAACCGUGGAAGAGGUCGCCAAUGUUGCCCCACCUACGCCGCGCGUCAACGUCGUCUUGGUGCCGCACCCGGAACGCGACAGCGAGCUCAUCCUCUUCGGCGGUGAAUUCUGGAAUGGGGAGACAACAGAGGCGUACAACGACACGUACUUCUUCAAUGCCAAGCGCAACGCCUGGGCACGCCUGUCUUCUGCUCUGAACCCCGCACCACGGAGCAGCAGCCAAGCCGUGGUCUACAAGCAGUAUCUCAUCCUGUUCGGUGGCGAGUUCGUCUCGCAGUCGCAGUCGCAGUACCUGCACUUCAAGGAUGUGUGGCGCUUCAACUGCCGCAGCAGUGAGUGGGAGGAGCUGAAGAAUCUCAAGGGCGGCCCCUCCUCCCGCAGCGGCCACCGAAUGGCCUUGUGGAAGCGCAACGCCAUCAUGUUCGGCGGCUUCUACGACAAUGCACAGGAGUGCCGUUACUUCGACGAUCUGUGGAUUCUGUCCAACCUGGACGGGGCGGGGCACUGGUCCCAGGUGAAGACGGCUCCAAUGACGGACCUGCCGCACGCGCGCAGCGGGCACAGCAUGAGCGUCUACCAGGACGAGCUCUUUGUCUACGGCGGCUACUCGACGCAGAAGUUUAACCGCUUCAAGAAGUCGGAGGCCACGGUGCACCAUGAUCUGUGGAUGAUAACCCUGCGGCAGGAGAAGGCCCUCGCCGGCGGCGAGGGACCGUUGCCAGUAUGGACGAAGAUCAAACUCGGUGGCAUUCCGCCGCCCAUCCGCUGCGGCGUCUCCUGCGCCUUCAAGGACAAGCGCCUCUACCUGUUUGGCGGCGUCGUCGACAUCGAGUCACCGGGGGGCAAGAUGGUCUCCACCUUUUAUAACGACCUCUAUGUGUUUCACAUGGACACGAAGCGCUUCUACCCUGUCGUGCUGCGGCGAGUAGCGAAGCGCGCGGCGGCGGCUGGGAAGUGCGAUCGCCUGGAUGAUCUAGCCGCCCAGCUCAGCGCCCUGGAUCUCUGCCGCGGCAAGUCGAGCAGCGAGGAGGAGAGUAGCUCGACCUCCGACGAGGAUGACGACGACCGCACCGGCCAGCCAGGGACGGCGGCUGCGAGCCAGGAGAUGAAGGAGAGUUACGAAACGAACCGGCACGGGCAAAUUCUGCCGCACCGGCGCAUGGACUCUGCCAUGGUGGUGGUGGGCAACACAUUGUACCUCUACGGCGGCCAGUUUGAGAGCAGCAAGAAGGAGAUCACGAUGUCGGACCUUUUCACGCUGAAUCUAAACAAAUUGGACACGUAUCAGCCGCUGCUGUCGCAAGAUUUAUCCGCCGCAGUGUGGCUAGGCAAGGAGUCCGAGAGCGACGCCGCUUCGUGGGAAAGCGGUAGCACGGUUGUCAGCGCCGUCUACGAUCUCGACUACGACGAGGACGACGAUGACGGCGAUGACGGCGACGAGGAGGAUGGCGCUGACGGUAUGGGGCGCCGUGGCGUGAACUUUGGUAACAUGCUGCGGGAGCCGGUGCUCGACCCUGAGGACGAGGGCGACGAGGCGCCGGAGGCAAUUCCCGCGGAGCUGGCGACGGAGGUGACUCCGAGUGUCGUGGGGGUGGCGGACGCCGUCGCUGGAAUUACGCGGACGGGAAAAAAAGGCCUCAAGGUGCACAAGGAGCAGCUCUUGGCGCAGCUCGGCGCCUCAUCGGCGGUGCCGACACCGGAGAGGGAGGAGACGUUCACCGCCUUUUUUGCCAGAACAUCCUCCUUCUGGAUGAACACGGCGCGCGAGUCCGUGGAGGGAAAAUGCACCGACCGCCGCUUGAAGAAGGAGGCGACGGAGUUCGCGAAGCAGCGCUUUUACGAGGCGCGGGAGCUGCUGGCGCAGCUCCAGCUUGUCGAGGACCGCGAGAGGGAGGAGGCGAAGUUCUUUCGAGAGCGCCGGCUGCAGAAGGAGAGGGAGUGGGAGGAGUACGAAGAGGCCCAGCGGCGCCUCGAACAGAACUCCGACCACAAAGAAGACGAUGCUCAUGACGAGGAUGGCUGACACGUAAACGGACCAGCGCUGUCACCGUGACAGCAGUCAGCACAGGAAGAAAUGCUACGGAGCAGAAUACACAGAACGACAGGAAGCGCCCGAUAGGUUAUGCUGCCGGUGUACGCGUGCCGUUACAUGCAGUUGGGAGGGGGGCUCGAUCAUGCACAUACUGGCGGGUCGCUCAUGUUCUUUUCUGCGCGAACGAUUUCUUUUCCUUUCCCACCGCCGCACCCUCCUCCUCUAAACCGAUAUGAUGAGGGGGAGGGGAGCACUGCUGAGUGCGAGGUAUCUGAAGGUCCAGUGCACCCCCCUCCCCUCCCCAGUAUCUCUGUCUGUGUGAAGCAGCUGAACAGCCCCUCCUCCCUCCUAUAUCCCUGCCAAUACCGAACUAUUCUGGGUGGCAGGGUGAAGUGGCGACGGCGUACGGGGAGGGGGAGCUCCGUGCGCGGUGUCGCUGCCGCUGUCCGGUCGCGGGUGGAGUUGUGCGUCGCGGCGACCGGCGACAGUGUGAGCACGUGUGUGCCAUUUGUAUGUGGUGUGCAAGGCCACCAUGCGCCUCGAGCGUAUCCCACCCGGCCGUCACACUGCCUACUGCUGGUGUGUGUGUGUGUGGGGGGCGAGUGGCGCUGGAGCCAUGCCAGCGUGGCGGAGAAUAAACGCUGUAAACACAGGUAAAACGAUCCACAGUCGCAGAGCUUCACACAGCGCGAUGACGCGUCCGUGUGUUGUAGUCGCGAGAGGACUUCUGCAACGACUUGCGCCCUGCAAGCGCUCUAGCGCGGCCAUGUUGCUGCGAGUGCAUCGCCUUUCUCGUAGUGGAUGUCGUUACAUUGUUGGUCACUCAGCGCACGUGCGGCUGAGAAGGGUGAAGCAUGUGUGUGACAGCACCGUUCCGGCCAACGUGCAGCGCGAGGGAAGUCAGACACGUGCCGGCCCACAGCUCCGUUGGUGAUCAGUGUCGUCGUACCUCCUCUCGCUAGGGCACUUCAACCCACGCCGCCGGGUCUCUCUGCUCCACCGCCAUUUUUCUUGUCGCCGUAUCUCUGUUUCACGACGGUUCACGCUCUCUGUCGAUCACAUGCCUACUACUCCACCUCGUUCGGUUCGUUCUUACAAUAACGUUUCUGGUGCUGCUGACAUUAG
RNAcentral lists this unclassified non-coding RNA (3584 nucleotides) under Leishmania donovani. RNAcentral's name for it is "gene:LdHU3.16.0090(CDS-product:Galactose_oxidase_ central_domain/Kelch_motif/Domain_of_unknown_function_(DUF4 110)_putative)". The record is from RNAcentral. Lineage: Eukaryota; Euglenozoa; Kinetoplastea; Trypanosomatida; Trypanosomatidae.